Molecule: long non-coding RNA, 1594 nt
Filed under: Hordeum vulgare
Lineage: Eukaryota; Viridiplantae; Streptophyta; Magnoliopsida; Poales; Poaceae
Description: long non-coding RNA (HVUL_LNC002663)
Source: RNAcentral
UGAGCUACUUUAUCGAGAACUGUGAAGUUGAUACAUGUAUUUCCUUUGUGCGGUAUACUCCUAUAGAGUAUGCUUGAGAUAUUGGAGUAUAACAAAAUACAACUUAUGUUAGGAAAUUGCGUUGUAAGUUGAUCCUGCGAGUCUUGAUUGGUUUUAACAGGAUUCUUUCCGGUCAGAAUUUUGACAGCAAAUAAAGCUUCAGUUAUUUCUAUCUGUACGCGCCGAUACAAAGCUGCACCAAGCUUUGGGGUACAUGUAAUCCAGUCCUGAUGUGUAACUAUCGAAAGUUUUGAUGUGUUCACAUGUAAUCCAGUUGUCACACUGCUCCGUGUGUUUGCAGAGCGGACCUCUAGAUCUUUUCAAUAGGGUAGGUCCUAAAAUAUAGAUUUUUUCUUUCACAUGGAUGCGCGUCCCUCAACGUCAUUCGAAACAGAGUGUUCGCCAGGACCCUUUGCAAAGUAUGUGAUCAACAGUACUGAGGGCGGGCUUCUUCCAAUGAUCUGCCUCACCUGUAAAAUGCUUGCCUUUCUUUCGAUAUUGGUGGUUGGUCGGAAGAAAUCGAUGAUGUCCCAGGUACACAUUUUUCUUGCAUUUGUCCAAAUAUAUACUUUCGGUGUCAUCUAAACAGUGCGCGCAUGUGUGGUAUCCCUUGUUUGUCUCUCCUGAAAGGUUACUGAGAGCAGGCCAAUCAUUGAUGGUUACAAACAACAACGCAUGUAGGUCAAAUUCCUGUUGUUUGUGCUCAUCACAUACACGUACACAUUUUCCAUUCCACAGCUGUAAAAGUUCUUCAACUAAUUUGCCUUAGGUACACAUCAAUGUCGUUCCCGGUUGCUUAGGGUCUUGAAUGAGCACUGACAUCAUAAUAAACUUUCGCUUCAUGUAUAACCAAGGAGGAAGGUUAUAGAUACAUAGAGUCACGAGCCAGUGCUAUGAUUGUUGUUCUGCUUCCCAAAAGGAUUAAUACCAUCUGCACUUAAACCAAACCAUACGUUCCUUACGUCACCUGCAAAGUCCACCCACCUUCUCUCGAUUUUUAUCCACUGUGACCCAUCAGCGGGUGCUCUCAACUUCUCGUCUUUCUUACAGUCUUCCUUGUGCCAUCGCAUCAACUUGUCAUGCUCUUUGUUUUUGAAAAAAACAUUUCAACCAUGGUAUUAUAGGAGCAUAUCACAUCGCCUUUGCAGGAACCCUCUUCCUGGGGAGCUCGUCCUCAACAUCACUAGGGUCAUCUCGUCUGAUCUUAUACCGCAAUGCACCGCAUACCGGGCAUGCGUUCAAAUCCUCAUACUCACAGCGGUAGAGGAUGCAGUCAUUAGGGCAUGCAUGUAUCUUCUGCACAUCCAAUCCUAGAGGACAGAGAACCUUCUUUGUUUCGUACGUAUUGUCAUACAAUUCAUUAUCCUUUGGAAGCUUCGUCUUCAUUAUUUUCAGUAGCUUUCCAAAUUCCAUAUCAGAUAAACCAUUAUCUGCCUUCCAUUGCAGCAAUUCUAGUGUGGUACCGAGCUUUGUGUUGUCAUCUUCGCAAUUUGGGUACAACCCUUUUUGUGAUCCUCUAACAUGCGCUCGAACUUCAACUUCUCCCUUUCAUUUU